RNAcentral lists this long non-coding RNA (1306 nucleotides) under Homo sapiens (human). RNAcentral's name for it is "HSALNT0336485". The record is from RNAcentral. Lineage: Eukaryota; Metazoa; Chordata; Mammalia; Primates; Hominidae.
UCCUAAUCUACAUAUUCACUAUGCUCCCUAAAUUCAUUUAUAUGGUAUUAUUGGGAGCUGAGAAUGGUUUUGUCUGAAAGAAUAGCUUAGCCAGAGUAGCUUAGAUUCUAGACCAGAUCUAAAAGUAAUCUUACUUUUACAGAUAAUGAGUUCUUUUCAUUGUUCAUUUGCUUGUUUUCAGUGUAGCUCUCUGUAUCCGACAAAAUGGCGCAUAAUCAUCUGUGAAAAUUGGAGAGUGUGCUCCUCUUACUUAUAAAAAAAAUAGUGAACUGUAAAACAGCCUCAGGCAUGUCCUUCAGGAGGAUUCCAGAAUAAGGCAUUGUUAUCAUAGGAGAUGACAGUUCCAUGCAUGUUAUUGCCCCUGAAGACUUUCCAGUGGGACAAGAUGUGGAGAUGAAGACAGUGAUACUGAUGGUCCUGACCCUGUGUAGGCCUUGGCACUCUCUUUAGGUCUGCAUGCUUCUCAAAUUGAGCUGUAACACUCACUGCUGCGGUCCAAGCCUUCAUUCUUUGAAGCCCGUGGAACCACAAACUCUUCAAUUGAUAAAAACCUUCGAUCGGAAGAGACUUCUCAUCUCAUUUCUGGGGGCCUGUCCGGGAUUUCUCUGAAGUGAAUAGAAUCCAUGAAACUGCAAGUGGUUCUACAAAUGGAGCCCCAAAUGACCACCACUAGCACCUACUAUCGAGGACCCCUAGACUGACCUACCAACCUGUUCUAACACCACGACACUGAAGAAGACUCCCCUCCUGAGGAACCCUCAACUGCAGAUCCCCUUCUGUGCCCCAGUUCAGCAGGAAGUAGCUAGAAUGAUCAUUGCCCAACUUCUCAACAGCACUUGGGCUUUCCUGUUGAGAGGGGGUACUGAGGCACUAAGUGGCUAAGUUAGCUAGACUUCCUGGGUCAACAGGGACUUCCCUAAGGGGACAUUCCUCUAAGCCAAAAUGAGUCAUAGCUGCAAGCUAAGGGAUUGAAACUUCAACCAAUCAAAGGGGACUUUCUCCUAAGCAAAAAUGAGUCACUGCUGCAAACUAAGUGAUUGAAACUUCACCCAAUCAUAUAGGGAGUUUAAGCUUUAGCUGCAGCCUGAUGUUUUUAACCAAUCAGGCCUGCCAACCCACAAGCAGAUAGAAAAUAAGCUAAUCCUAUGGGACAGAAAAAGGAAAAGGGGAGGAGUCAUAAGAGGAUAUAAGCAUAAGACACCCAAGCCAGAAACGGAAACCCUUCCGGGUCUCCUUCCACCACGUGGAAGCUUUACUUUUGCUUUUACUUUACUUUCACUUUAAUAAACCUUGGCGCUGCACACUC